Molecule: ribosomal RNA, 253 nt
Filed under: uncultured bacterium
Lineage: Bacteria
Description: partial 16S ribosomal RNA
Rfam family: Bacterial small subunit ribosomal RNA
Source: RNAcentral
GACAGAGGGGGCAAGCGUUGCUCGGAAUUACUGGGCGUAAAGGGCGCGUAGGCGGGAUGGCAAGUCGGUCGUGAAAUCCCUCGGCUCAACUGAGGAUCGUCGAUCGAUACUGCCGUUCUUGAGGAUUGCAGAGGAGACUGGAAUUCCCGGUGUAGCGGUGAAAUGUGUAGAGAUCGGGAGGAACACCGGUGGCGAAGGCGGGUCUCUGGGCAAUUCCUGACGCUGAGGCGCGAAAGCGUGGGGAGCAAACCGG